RNAcentral lists this ribosomal RNA (411 nucleotides) under uncultured Pseudomonas sp. RNAcentral's name for it is "bacterial SSU rRNA". It matches the Rfam family "Bacterial small subunit ribosomal RNA", at positions 971 to 1382 of the family's 1533-position model. The record is from RNAcentral. Lineage: Bacteria; Pseudomonadati; Pseudomonadota; Gammaproteobacteria; Pseudomonadales; Pseudomonadaceae.
UUACCAGGCCUUGACAUGCAGAGAACUUCCAGAGAUGGAUUGGUGCCUUCGGGAACUCUGACACAGGUGCUGCGUGGCUGUCGCCAGCUCGUGUCGUGAGAUGUUGGGUUAAGUCCCGUAACGAGCGCAACCCUUGUCCUUAGUUACCAGCACGGUUAUGGUGGGCACUCUAAGGAGACUGCCGGUGACAAACCGGAGGAAGUGGGGAUGACGUCAAGUCAUCAUGGCCCUUACGGCCUGGGCUACACACGUGCUACAAUGGUCGGUACAAAGGGUUGCCAAGCCGCGAGGUGGAGCUAAUCCCAUAAAACCGAUCGUAGUCCGGAUCGCAGUCUGCAACUCGACUGCGUGAAGUCGGAAUCGCUAGUAAUCGUGAAUCAGAAUGUCACGGUGAAUACGUUCCCGGGCCUU